GCCCUAUUUAUACCUCUUUCUUACAUCACUUCCUUGCCCUGUCGUGGUUUCUUGUAGCCCAAGAGUGCAUUCUGUUAACUUGUAUUUCAUUGGUAUCUGACUUUGGCUUGUUUUCGGGUUAUCCAUAUCUCUGGCUACCCUGCUUUUAUGCAUCUCUCCCAUGCAAUGGAGACACCCACAGAAAAUUAUACAGUAACCAAUCAUAUACAGGUUACAACCCACACAUCUCCUCCCCUCAGCCUGACAGAUAAUCCAAUUAUUCAGCACACACUUUUCCCCAUUUUCUGGAUGUACCCCAAAUACAUAAAAUACACCCCUAAAUCCUACAUCCCCUGAUAGCUUUAAUCUAGGUGAGCAAUAUACUCAAAAAUUACCCAGAUCGGAUCAGGGGUUCGGGAACUACAUGGAUGUGUUCGUUUGACUGACCGUGUGGCAAACCUAGCCACUUGGGACUGCCUAAGAUAGAAUGGUUGUGCCUAUUUUCUGUUGUGUACUGCGCGCCGGUAUAGUGUGGCGUCUCGGCUAUGUUUAAUUUAUGCUGUACUGUGUAUGUCUGUUCGAAUCCUCCCCAUUCGUUAGCAUUGCUAUUAAAACUGACUAAGUUGUAUAUUUUGAAGAAGAAAGGUAACGGUUUAUGUCCUCGUAGUUUUCAUUACUGUAUGUUACAGCAGGGGCUGUUGGGAGGAGGACCUGGAAACGGUAGUCUCCCUCCAGUCCCCUCAACCAAAACCCCUGCUGCCCAUCUUUGGAAACCCCUGUUGAGUGACCUGCUUUAAAUAUCAGUUAUUUUUAAUAAAGUGACAGUUGAGUGACCUGCUUUAAAUAUCAGUCUUUUUGAAUAAAGUGGCAGUUGACUCUCAGACUGUGUUUCGUCUGGUUCUUGGGAGGAUUUGGGAAUAUUGCCUGCUUCCAGCUUUGUACUUGGUUAUUGCAUUCUACCAGCAGAGAUCCUGGGAUUAUAAAAUUGCAGCUCCGCAACAAUUGGUGGCAAGCGGCGGGAUCCAACCGUACAGCAGGAAAAACGCUGUUUAUACAAUUGGAAUUGACAUACUGGAAAGCAGAAGGCAAUUGAUACAGAUGCAGAAGUGAAUGGGGACGGACUACACCAUAUUGAAACGGCAAACGUUAAAGGAGCUGUUGGAAGCCAGGGGUAAGAUAGCCAGCAAUAAGCCUAAAGCAAGACUUAUUGCCGAGCUAAUGGAAGGAGACCGAGGGGGGUCUGUACAUGUGACUAAUAAGCAGCUUAUAGUGCCCCAGAAAUACCGGCAGGAACUGCUUAGAAUUGCCCACGAUAUUCCGCUGUCUGGGCAUUUAGGGAUGACAAGAACGAGGUACAGAUUGACACAUGCAUUUUUCUGGCCAGGUAUAUCUAGAGAUGUGAGACAGUAUUGUCAGACAUGUGACAUUUGUCAGAGAGUGGGAAAAAGGGGUGACCGCCACAAAGCGAAAUUGUGCCCCCUUCCCAUUAUUGAAGAACCCUUUAGCAGAGUAGCAGUGGAUAUAGUAGGACCACUGUCCAAGCCUAGCCCUUCCGGCAAGCGGUAUAUUCUGACCAUUGUAGAUUAUGCCACCCGGUACCCGGAGGCUAUAGCCCUUUCCAAUAUACAAGCAGAAACGGUAGCCGAAGCUAUGAUGAAGAUAUUUUCCAGGAUGGGAUUUCCCCAAGAGAUAAUUUCGGAUAGGGGGACCCAAUUUACAGCCGAAGUGACCCACCAGCUAUGGAAGUUAUGUGGCAUUAAGCCAAUUGUAAAUUCUGCCUAUCACCCGCAGUCCAAUGGGUUGUGUGAGCGCUUUAACGGUACCUUGAAGCAGAUGCUCAGGACAUUUGGGGAGUCCCAUAAAGACUGGGAGAGGUUUUUACCCCAUCUGCUUUUUGCGUACCGAGAAGUGCCACAGGAAUCUACCGGCUUCUCUCCGUUUGAGUUAUUGUUUGGGAGAAGGGUGAGGGGACCCCUAGACUUAAUUAGAGAACAUUGGGAGGGGGGGAGCAGUGCAGAUGGAGUCCCCAUUGUGCCAUACGUGCUGGAGUUCCGGGACCGCUUGGAGGCUCUAACCCAAACCGUACGGGAGAACCUCCGGGCGGCUCAGCGGCGACAGCGCCGGUGGUACGAUAGGGGAGCCAGAGACCGUAGCUUUCAGGUGGGACAGAAAGUUCUAAUUUUGAAACCUGUCCGCACAGACAAGCUACAGGCCACAUGGCAGGGCCCAUACCAAGUGGUAGAACAGAGAUGUGACACCACUUAUGUGAUCGGCCCGUGCUCUGGGGUAGGGAAACGACGCAUGCUCCAUGUGAACAUGCUCAAACCCUAUCACCAGAGAAUAGAGGAGGUAGCAGCCAUCUGUGCCCCAGCCACUGAGGAUUAUGAGAAUCUGCCCUUGCCAGACAUGUUAGAAAAGGAAGAUUCUGCAGAAAACGCUACAGGUGUGCAGCUGGGGGAGCGGCUAAGUCUCCAGGAGCGUGCCCAGGUACAGGAGUUGAUUGCAGCAAAAGGUGCUACCUUCUCCAAUUUACCAGGGUACACUCUGUUAGCUACCCACCGAGUAGAGACCCCAGGACAGCUCCCUAUGAGACAGACUCUGUAUCGUAUCCCUGAAGCAGUAAGGGAGCACAUGAGGAAAGAAAUUGAGGAAAUGUUGCAGUUAGGGGUUAUCGAACAUUCAGAUAGCCCCUGGGCAUCACCGGUAGUGCUAGUACCCAAGAAGGAUGGCACCAUGCGGUUUUGUGUAGACUACCGGAGGCUCAAUGACAAAACAGUGUCUGACGCCUACCCGAUGCCCCGUAUAGACGAGCUGCUAGAUAGGAUGGCAAGAGGCCAGUAUCUCACUACCAUUGAUCUGUGUAAGGGAUACUGGCAGAUUCCACUAGCCGAGGAGGCCAUCCCCAAGUCGGCGUUUGUCACCCCGUUUGGCCUGUAUCAAUUUCGGGUCAUGCCUUUCGGGAUGAAAAACGCUCCGGCUACCUUUCAGAGGAUGGUAGAUCGGCUACUGGACGGGUUCCAAGAGUACGCCUGUGCGUACUUAGAUGAUAUAGCCAUUUAUAGCCAGACCUGGGCAGAUCAUUUGAAACAUAUUAGUGUGGUCAUUGACCGUAUUGGAGAGGCAGGGCUGACACUAAAACCUAGCAAGUGUCACAUAGGGAUGGCAGAGGUGCAGUACCUGGGUCACAGGGUAGGAUGCGGACAGCAGAGGCCCGAACCGGCCAAGAUAGAGGCAGUAGCUAAGUGGCCUACCCCCAGGACAAAGACACAAGUAUUGGCGUUCCUUGGUACCGCUGGUUACUACAGAAAAUUUGUGCCCAAUUACAGCGCCCUGGCCAAACCCCUGACGGACUUGACCAAGAAAAACUUGCCACGACAGGUCAACUGGGGCCCAGAGUGUGAACAGGCAUUCCAUGAACUAAAAACUGCAUUAACUAAGGCUCCUGUGUUAACUGCCCCUGAUCCAACUAAACGAUUUCUUGUUCACACAGACGCUUCCAUGUUUGGAUUGGGGGCAGUACUGAGCCAAGUGGGAGCUGAUGGCGGAGAACAUCCCGUAGCUUACUUAAGCAGAAAAUUACUACCAAGGGAAGUAGGCUACGCCGCCAUCGAGAAGGAAUGCCUGGCCGUGGUGUGGGCCCUCAAAAAGUUACAACCUUAUUUGUAUGGACAACCAUUCUCCUUGCUCACAGAUCACAACCCGUUGGUGUGGCUACACAGGGUGUCAGGAGACAAUGCCCGGCUGUUGCGCUGGAGUUUGGCGCUGCAGCCGUUUGAUUUCACGAUCCAUUAUCGCCCUGGAAAACAGAAUGGUAACGCCGAUGGGUUGUCCAGACAGACAGAACUUGAGAAAUGAUCUGUGAGCACUCCCCCGGACAUCCCCAAGCCGAUCCGUUGGGAUCAGACUGUGUAUGCCGGCUUGGUUUUGGGGGAGCAUUGUGGCAAACCUAGCCACUUGGGACUGCCUAAGAUAGAAUGGUUGUGCCUAUUUUCUGUUGUGUACUGCGCGCCGGUAUAGUGUGGCGUCUCCGGCUAUGUUUAAUUUAUGCUGUACUGUGUAUGUCUGUUCGAAUCCUCCCCAUUCGUUAGCAUUGCUAUUAAAACUGACUAAGUUGUAUAUUUUGAAGUAGAAAGGUAACGGUUUAUGUCCUCGUGGUUUUCAUUACUGUAUGUUACAGCAGGGGCUGUUGGGAGGAGGACCUGGAAACGGUAGUCUCCCUCCAGUCCCCUCAACCAAAACCCCUGCUGCCCAUCUUUGGAAACCCCUGUUGAGUGACCUGCUUUAAAUAUCAGUUAUUUUUAAUAAAGUGACAGUUGAGUGACCUGCUUUAAAUAUCAGUCUUUUUGAAUAAAGUGGCAGUUGACUCUCAGACUGUGUUUCGUCUGGUUCUUGGGAGGAUUUGGGAAUAUUGCCUGCUUCCAGCUUUGUACUUGGUUAUUGCAUUCUACCAGCAGAGAUCCUGGGAUUAUAAAAUUGCAGCUCCGCAACAAACCACACACGAGGCAGUAGCCGCAAACAGUUCCAUAAAUUUUGGCCUUGCGGACCGUCUCUGUUCGUGGAUUAAAAGUCACGAAAAUACUGACUAGAAUGGGCUGUGCUUGUGUUCGUAUGAAUUCCCUUGUUCGUUUGAUACCUUUUACCGAACGUCGGGCCGUUAGUGUUUUUCCUCGCACAGAGAUGGAAGUCUGGAGGUCUCAGCGGUGUUUGCGUGGUCGAGUGUCCGAUGUGGGUUCCAGACACUCGACGACCAAACACCGGUGGGCGUUCGUAUGGCAAGAUGGCCGCCGCCACGUGUUCGUAUGCCGAAUGGCGGCCACCCAGGGAAUACACAGUGCGUUCAUAUAUUUUUCAAUUAGAUGGCAAUAGAGGCUGGGGAGGUAAAUUGGGGCCACACUUCUCUCAGGGGUGGUCUGGUUGUUCGGUAGUUUGUUCGUAUGUCGAACGGGGUGGUUCACUUUAGUCUCCAUGGCUUUCUACUGAACAACCAGACGAAUUAAUAAAAGGAAUGGAACAUAUCGGCUAUGAAGAAAGGUUAACAAAUUUAAACCCAUUUAGUUUAGAAAAACGUCGCCUGAGAGGGGAUAUGAUAACAUUAUACAAAUAUAUUCGGGGCCAAUACAAACCAUUGUGUGGAAAUCUAUUUACAAACCGGACUUUACAUAGAACACGAGGCCAUGCGUUUAGACUGGAAGAAAGAAGAUUUCGUCUAAGGCAAAGGAAAGGUUUUUUUACUGUAAGAACAAUCAGGAUGUGGAAUUCUCUGCCUGAAGAAGUGGUUUUAUCAGAGUCCAUACAGAUGUUCAAACGGCUACUAGAUGCAUACUUGCAAGAACAGAAUAUUCAAGGAUAUAAUCUUUCAAUGUAGGGUAAUAACUGCUUGAUCCAAGGAUAAAUCUGACUGCCAUUCUGGGGUCAAGAAGGAAUUUUUUUCCUAGCUUGUUGCAAAAUUGUGCUUCAAACUGGGUUUUUUUGCCUUCUUUUGGAUCAACAGCAAAAAACAAAUGUGAGGAAGGCUGAACUUGAUGGACGCAAGUCUCUUUUCAGCUAUGUAACUAUGUAACUAUGAAUGCUUAGUCACAAUUUGCUUGCACACAAUAAAAACAAAAGAAAAUAUUGUUGCCAAAUGAAAAUAUGAUGGACAGCCAGAUGGUAUCCGCUACACUUGCCCACAAGCUGGCAUACACAGUCCAGCACGGAUCAGCUUGGGGAUGUCUGGGGUUGCUCACGGAUCAUUUUUCCAGGUCAAUUUGUCUAGACAACCCGUCAGCGUUUCCGUUCUGUUUUCCCGGGCAGUACUGGAUGUUGAAUCUAAGAGUCGGUCCACCAUCCUCUGGAAAGUAGCCUGAGUGUUUUUCAUCCCAAACGGCAUUACCUUAAAUUGGUAUAAGCCGAAUGGGGUGACAAAGGCUGACUUAAGGAUGGCGACCGGGGCUAGGGGAAUCUGCCAAUUAAUGGUAGUGAGGUAUUGGNNNNNNNNNNNNNNNNNNNNNNNNNNNNNNNNNNNNNNNNNNNNNNNNNNNNNNNNNNNNNNNNNNNNNNNNNNNNNNNNNNNNNNNNNNNNNNNNNNNNCCCCGGGCCAUCUAGUCUAGCAGUUUGUCUAUCCUUGGCAUAGGAUAGGCAUCGGACAUUGUCUUUUCAUUCAACCUCCGGUAGUCCACGCAGAAGCUUGGAUACGAGGACUAAUGGGGAGGCCCAGGGGCUGCCUGAUGCUCAAUCACCCCCAGUUGGAGUAUCUCGUUGAUCUCCUUGCGCAUGUUUUCCCGUACCACCUCUAUGAUGCGGUAUGGGGUUUGGCGCAGUGGGAGUUGAACUGAAUUUGGUGUCACAUCGAUGUUCCAACACUUUAUAAGGGCCUUGCCAGGCAGCCUGUAACUUAUGUCAGACAGGUUUUAAAAUUAAAACUUUCUGCCCGACCUGAAAGCUACAGUCUCUGGUGCCCCAAUCAUACCAUGUGCGCUGACGCGUCUGAGCCGCCUGCAGGUUUUCCCCUACCGACCUGGUCAGUUCCUCCAGUCGGUCUCGGAACUCCAGUACAUAUGGUAUGAUGGGGGUACCGUCCAUGAUAUAGUCUCCUUCCCAAUGUUCCUUGAUAAGGUCAAUUGGUCUGUGGAUAGUAGGGGGUACUAACUAUGGGCCUAAUGCCACAGAAUUUCCAGAGGUGCUGGGCAGGGGUCAAGUCCUGGGGAAAAAAGUGUGGGAACUCUCCCAAAAAAAAACAAAAAACGUAUGUAUGUAUGUAUGUAUAUAUAUAUAUAUAUAUAUAUAUAUAUAUAUAUAUAUAUAUAUGGAAGGCGUGGCCUGAAGUUGUGGGAGGGGCUUGGUUCCCCUUCUUAAGGAGCAUCAACCCUUCCCUCAUUACCUGUUGGGUCUGGCGAAUUGUGGGUAGAGAGAUCGUCACUUCCGGUUGUUCUGGCACCAUUCUACUUACCUGUUUCACCGUGGGUAGCUUCCUGGGUCCCAACAAGUGCUGUCCCAUCCUGUUUCGCCCGUCUGGCUUCAUUUCCUGGCCGGGCGUUUCGCUGCGCUUUCAUUACGGCAAAAUCGUAAGUUUUACGGCCGUCGCAAUUUCGGCGCGGCCGUUUUACGUCAUCCUAAUUGUACAGUCGCACACGUGGAAACUCUUCGGUAAAUAUUUACACGAAUACCGGCGUUCGGUUUUCUGCUUGUAUACGCAUAUAGCAUGUUACAUUUUAAUUCGUAUGGGGCAAUUCGUUACAUUCAUAUUAUGCCUGUUCGUUUGCCGAAAGCUGCUUCACUUUUAUGUUACAACUUGUUGUAUGCCCUAGGGCGACCUCUGGUGGCUGGUUCAUUGUCACUGAUUUCUCUCUCAAAUACAUUCCACGACCCCUGGUGGUUAUUAAAGUUAUGGCAUUUGGCACAAGUAAAUUAUAAUUUUAGUUAUGAUUAUAAGAUAUCUUAUGUUGGUUAAAGUUUGUUGGGCAACUCGUUAAAUAUGUUUUAUUAAUAAGUUGAACAAUGCAUUUACACUCGGUCACCUUAUGACUAUUUCGUUUGCCUAAUCUCUAGUCUAUUAUAUGGUAUAAUUAUGAUAUGCACUAAGAAGACCUCUGGUGGUCGGUUUUCAGUACUAUUUAGUUGCUUGCACAACCCUGCUGAUCAGAAAGGUUAUAUUCACGACCUCAAUUGUUUGUAAGAUUACAGUAUCAGUAGUCCAGUGUUGUGUGCAUCGUAUGAGUAUCAAUAUAAGGACAUUUUGUCAUAACAUACUUAACGGUCAAUUAAUUAGAGACCUCUUGUUUUCAGUGUUCUACAUCAAUUCCUCUGGGUUCCGCUACCCCACCAACUGUUUCACUCUACAUCAGUUCAUAUAUUUAAUUAUACCUUCAUGGGUCACGCCAGACCAGAUUCCUCAAAGAUAUUUUCUGUAUUACUAGGUAUAAGCAUCCUAGCACUUUGUAGUAUUCAGGUUCCAGUCACCUAAACUGUUGGAAUAUUAUUUAUAGGUAUCUGAUCAGUAGGGGGUCAAGGGCUACAUAUUUCGACCCUUACGAACUCAUGUUACUCUCGUAGGUUACUACAGCUCACCUGGGUCACGUGUCCUACUUUCUGCAAAUUUCACUACUAGUGAAGUACUACUGGUAGGUAUCAGAUUAGCUGGGGAUUUAGGGGCACAAUUUCGUUUUAUUUUACCCAUACAAACGUCAAUUACUCUUGUAGAUUACGACAGAUCUCCUGUACACUUCUUCUCAUACUAUCUGGCAACUUACUCAACAGGUACGUCACGUUUCGACUACUUCUCCCUCCCUACCUACCCUUUAGGGUUUAUACAGAUACUGGCAAGAAAUAGGACCCACUAGGUAUGUUUUUCUGGCCUUCUACGCCUUACGUUAGUGGUCCCGCGAGGCCAACACCCAUCCUCAAUUCGGAGGUACGGCAUCCCCUCGGGCCCUUUCAUAGCUAGCCGCCUCGCUUAGUUGCAUAGAGAGGGCCUCACUUGUCACUCCCAUUCUGUCUUAUGCCUUUACAAGUCACAGAGAGGCCACCACCCUGCCAUAAUGCCAAUGGCCACGUAUCCCACACGCGCCAAAUCAUAGAUAGUGCCUCUCAAGGCCGCUUGGCCACUAGUAGGGCCUCACCUGUCAUGUCGCUUAAUAAUUCUUCGCCGCUUGGCAUUUAGUGACAAUAGCCAGUUGGGUAGCCCCAGAUAACAUACUAUUUUAUGUUGUAGCAUGUCACAAGUUCCUGAAGAAAGGGAAGAUGUGUCCAUGUCAGGGUACCUGUUGGUGAUGUAUCCAGGGAGGACAUCCUCUCUGCUUAGGGGCUCCCUGCCCCUAGCUUUUCGGCAUAUUCCGGCCGUUUUCGCGCCGGCCGCGCUAGCUCCUCCCCCUUUUAUGACGCGACGGCUAGCGUCGACGUCAUGACGUCGGCAUUUGCAUAAAGUGCCGGGAACCGCUAUUCCGGACCUUUUUGGGGGCGUGGUCUCUAUUUAGGUAACAGGGUAUUUAAAGGAAACCUUUACUACUGCUCAUUGCCCUGUCGUGGUUCUAGCUUGCUAGUCACUCAGCGCGUUCUUUAUCUUGUGUUUCCGGUUUUGACCCUUGCUUGUCUUUUGUCCUGUUGUCCUCUCCUCUCCUUUGACUCGGCUUGUAUCUCGCUUACCUGUCCUCCGGCUCCCUUGACCUCGGCUUACCUUUUGACUAUUCUUGCUUUGUCCUUACGUUAGUCCGGCCAUUCUAAGGUCCGGUAUACGUACCUCCUUCUGUGCGCACUCUGCGUAUUGGAUCCCUGUCAGUUUCCUGACAUUACGACAGGGCCAGAUGGAUCCUGCAGGUGCUAGUCCUCCUGACCCCAGAUUUGAGGCCAUGGACCAUAGAAUGGACCAAAUGGCUUUAGCGUUACAAACUUUGUUGACACGCUCCAGUACCCAGUCUGAAGAAAUACGUUCCACUGCUAGCCACUCGCUAAGUACUGGUUUGGAAGUAGCCACUGUAGGCGCAUCUUCCCAUGUCACGUCACCAUUACGAUAUGGGGGUUCGCCUGAUGCUUGUCGUGGUUUUUUAAACCAGAUAAGUAUACAUUUCGAACUACAACCCCGGGCUUACCCCACUGACAGGGCUAAGGUAGGCUUUAUUAUAACCCUGCUAAUAGAUAAAGCACUUAGAUGGGCCAAUCCCCUUUGGGAGAAUGACAAUCCUUUAGUCUACAACUACACUGCGUUUGUCACGGCUUUUAGAAGAACCUUUGACCCCCCAGGGAGGAAGAUUAAUGCGGCCAGAUCCCUGUUACGCCUUAAACAACAGGAUAGGACCCUUGUAGAAUAUGCUCUAGAGUUUAGAUCAUUGGCAGCAGAAGUGAAAUGGAACGAACAAGCUUUUAUGGAUGUCUUCUUAAAUGGGUUGUCUGAUGAAAUUCUAGAUGAAAUUGCCACAAGAGAACUUCCGGAAAAUUUAGAGGAUUUAGUAUCCUUCAUUUCCAGAAUAGAUGAACGCAUGAGACAGAGGCAGAACACUCGGGAAAGAGUUACUAGACUUCCUGUAAGACUCACUCCCUCAUUUCAGAACCCUGACUCCUAUAAUCCUACUCCACCAGAACCUAUGCAAAUAGGCAAUACUCGCUUAUCUGAGGCUGAGAGACAGUACAGAAGAAGGGAGGGUCUCUGCUUAUACUGCGGGCGGAGAGGUCACCUACGUCUGAGUUGCCCUAAUCGUCCGGGAAACGCUCGCACCUAAGUUCCCUUAGAGGACGGGCCUUGGGUGUUUCAUUACUGUCCUCUAUGCAUAAUAAAAAAGACCAUAGGCUUCUGAUUCCUGUCUCUCUAGCUUGGGAAAAGGGGCUUAUUGCUACGAUGGCAUUAUUAGAUUCUGGAGCAGCAGAAAGCUUUAUAGACCAAACUUUCGCUAAUAAGCAUUGUAUCCCAUUCCAAUUGAGAGAUACACCCUUGGCCGUUGAGGCCAUAGAUGGUAGACCUUUAUCUGAACCAGUAAUAUUCCAUGAGACUGUACCCGUUAAGCUUACUGUUGGUAUUUUCCACGAGGAGUUGAUUUCCCUUCUGUUAAUUUCCUCCCCGGCAGUCCCAGUGGUACUAGGAUAUUCUUGGCUCAAGAGACACAACCCUCAGAUUGACUGGGAGGGUGGAGAAAUCGUGUCUUGGGGUAUGGGUUGUAGGAAAGAAUGUCUGCAGAGUGUUACUUCUGUUUGCCCCAUAAACUCUUAUGUUAACACUUCUCAAUCCACAGACGUUCAGAUACCAUUACAAUAUCUAGACCUCAAAUCUGUAUUUGACAAGGGUAAGGCGGAUACUUUACCUCCCCACCGGUCUUAUGACUGUUCUAUUAAACUUUUCCCUGGUACUAUGCCUCCCAGGGGUACGGUAUACCCUCUAUCCACCAAGGAAAACUUAGUUUUAGAGGAAUAUAUCAAGGAGAAUUUAGACAAAGGAUUUAUUAGAAAGUCUUCUUCUCCGGCGGGGGCGGGUUUCUUUUUUGUAGAAAAGAAAGACGGUACCUUACGUCCUUGUAUAGAUUAUCGGGGAUUGAACAAAAUUACUAUCAGAAAUGCUUACCCUUUGAUUACUGAACUCUUUGACAGACUAAAGGGCUUGAGUAUUUUUACCAAACUUGACUUAAGAGGAGCAUAUAACUUAGUGCGAAUUAAACAAGGAGAUGAAUGGAUGACUGCAUUUAAUACCCGUUACGGGCAUUAUGAGUAUACCGUAAUGCCGUUUGGGCUUUGCAACGCCCCGGCCGUCUUCCAAGACUUGAUCAAUGAAGUUCUUAGAGAAUUCCAACAUGAAUGUGUAAUUGUAUAUUUGGAUGAUAUACUAAUCCAUUCUAGAGACAUUAAUUCACAUCAUAGACAAGUCAGAAAGGUAUUACAGAAACUUUUACAACAUGGAUUGUAUUGUAAAUUGGAAAAAUGUAGCUUUGACCAGUCUCAGGUAACUUUCUUAGGUUACGUAAUUUCCAAAGACGGGUUUAUGAUGGACCCGACCAAACUAAAAUCGAUUUUAGAUUGGCCUUUACCUAAGGGACUCAAAGCCAUACAAAGAUUUCUUGGAUUUUCUAAUUAUUACAGACGUUUUAUUAAAGGGUACUCCUCUGUUAUCGCUCCUAUCACUAAUAUGACCAAACAAGGAGCCGAUACCAAAACCUGGUCUACUGAGGCUUUAUCUGCUUUCGAAACGCUCAAACAGUCUUUUGCCUCAGCACCUGUAUUAGUUCAUCCUGAUACCUCUCUACCCUUUUUACUUGAAGUUGAUGCGUCUGAAACAGGGAUAGGCGCAGUGUUGUCCCAAAGACAAAGUUUAGAUAAGCCGCUGCACCCUUGCGGUUUUUUUCCAAGAAACUAUCACACACUGAAAGGAGAUAUGACAUUGGUGAUAGAGAACUUUUAGCUAUCAUUAUGGCAUUAAAGGAAUGGAGACAUUUGUUAGAGGGCACCGUCCUCCCAGUUACUAUCUUGACUGACCACAAAAAUUUAUCGUAUAUGGGGGAGGCUAAAAGAUUAUCUGCCAGGCAGGCACGUUGGUCUAUGUUCCUUACACACUUUAAUUAUGUGCUUACUUACAGACCUGGUUCUAAGAACACUAAGGCAGACGCUUUGUCACGUCAGCACGAACCUACCACCUCUACAGAGGAUACUUUGUUCCCUAUUAUUCCUGAAGUCAAUAUUAUCGCCAACACCAAUGUCAAAAUACACUCUCCAUUGCUCGCUGAUAUUAUGAACGAACAAUCUCUUGCUCCCGAACGUACUCCUGUGGGCCGCUUGUUCGUGUCUCCCAAAUUCCAAGUGGACAUUAUUCGCUGUUUUCACGAUAGCAAGUUCGCUGGUCACCCCGGCAUCCACAAAACUUACUGCCUGAUCUCCAAAGACUUCUGGUGGCCCGGUUUACGUAGGGAUGUGGAAGACUUUGUCAAGGCUUGCAAUGUUUGUGUCAGGAAUAAACUUCCGCGGGAUCUCCCUUGUGGUUUAUUGCAGCCCUUAGUCGUUCCCAACAAACCUUGGGCUUGUUUUGCUAUGGAUUUUAUUGUUGAUCUACCAGCUUCCAAUAGGCAUACAGUUAUCCUCACGGUCCUUGACAGGUUUACUAAAAUGGCUCAUUUCGUUCCCUUGCCUAAACUUCCGUCCUCCCCCGAACUGGCCGUGAUAUUUGCUAGAGAAAUUUUCCGUUUACAUGGUAUUCCCAAUGAGAUUGUGUCAGACAGGGGUUCCCAAUUUAUUUCCCGUUUUUGGAGAUCCUUCUGUUCACAGUUGGGCAUCAAACUGAAUUUUUCUUCGGCCUAUCAUCCUCAAUCUAACGGAGCAGCCGAACGCACUAACCAAAAAUUGAGCAAUAUCUACGUUGUUUUGUUUCUGAACACCAGGAUGACUGGGUCGGUCUGAUUCCUUGGGCGGAGUUUGCUCACAACAACCUUGUUUGUGGUUCCACUCAUAAUAGCCCCUUUUUCUUGAACUAUGGCUUUAACCCUACUGUUCUUCCGUCGGUGUCUCCUUCCCAGGGUAUACCGUCGGUUGAUAUUCAUAUAGCUAACCUGAGAAAGUUGUGGGAUCAGACUCGACAAAUUCUUGAACGUAGUUCCGCGGUGUUUAAGUCACAUGCUGAUAGGCGUAGGCGUCCUGCUCCUAUUUUUUCUCCGGGGAUAGGGUCUGGUUGUGUACCAGACACAUUCGCCUGAAAGUUCCUUCCUUGAAGUUUGCUCCUCGUUACAUUGGUCCUUACAGGGUACUGAGGAGGAUCAACCCGGUUUCUUAUUUGCUGGAUCUACCUCCUACUCUACGCAUCCCUAACUCUUUUCAUGUGUCGUUAUUAAAACCUCUUGUUUGUAACAGAUUUUCCUCCCGCUCUGCUCCUCCAUCCUCGGUCCGUGUGGAUGGUCAGGAGGAAUAUAUCAUCAAGUCCAUCCUUGAUUCUCGUAUUUCUAGGGGAAGCUGCAAUACCUCAUAGACUGGAAAGGUUAUGGUCCAGAAGAGAGGUCUUGGGUUCCUGGUAUAGACGUGCAUGCUCCUCGUCUUCUUCGGGCCUUCCACGUUCGUUUUCCUUCUAAGCCAGGUCCCAUCCGCCCGGUGGGCGUUUCUAGAAGGGGGGGUACUGUCAGGGUACCUGUUGGUGAUGUAUCCAGGGAGGACAUCCUCUCUGCUUAGGGGCUCCCUUCCCCUAGCAUUUCGGCAUAUUUCGGCCGUUUUCGCGCCGGCCGCGCUAGCUCCUCCCCCUUUUAUGACGCGACGGCUAGCGUCGACGUCAUGACGUCGGCAUUUGCAUAAAGUGCCGGGAACCGCUAUUCCGGACCUUUUGGGGGCGUGGUCUCUAUUUAGGUAACAGGGUAUUUAAAGGAAACCUUUACUACUGCUCAUUGCCCUGUCGUGGUUCUAGCUUGCUAGUCACUCAGCGCGUUCUUUAUCUUGUGUUUCCGGUUUUGACCCUUGCUUGUCUUUUGUCCUGUUGUCCUCUCCUCUCCUUUGACUCGGCUUGUAUCUCGCUUACCUGUCCUCCGGCUCCCUUGACCUCGGCUUACCUUUUGACUAUUCUUGCUUUGUCCUUACGUUAGUCCGGCCAUUCUAAGGUCCGGUAUACGUACCUCCUUCUGUGCGCACUCUGCGUAUUGGAUCCCUGUCAGUUUCCUGACAGUCCAUCGCCAGUACACCGGCUAGAUCGGUCACUCCAUCGCGGGGUGACGACAACGCAAGCCCUGCAUCACUCAGGGCGUGGACUGUUCCAAGAAUUACGGCUGAAUUAAGGAAGAGAAAUAUUCCGUUCCCUGCUACAGCUAGGAAAGCUGAGUUGUACAGACUAUUAAAUACCCAGACUGAUAACUCUGGGGCAGGGGAAGGAUCCAGCGGGAACCAUUCCUCAGAUCUGCAGUCAGUUUUGUCAUCAGUCCUGACCUCUUUGGGUCGUAUUACGGACAAACUGGACAAAAUGGACGCAGAUAGCCAGCAAAGGUCGCCUGCUACUGCAGGGAGCCCAGUUGCUGCAGUAUGCUUGGACCCUCUACCGGGUAAUUUACCAACUAGCUCUAAAGACCCACAUAUAAUUAACCCAGCACACAUGGUACCUGCUAAAACCAGAAAGGACAUCUUGGAAGGAAAGGAUAUCAAUCUGGUAUCACUUUUGAUUGCCUUACAAGAUGUCCUUGAGAAUAAGACAUAUGCAUAUGGGGAUGUGUCAGUAGUUCUCAAGUCCAGAGAUCCCAGGCUGAAUCAAAAGCUUUCCAUUCCAGAAUUUGUACUGGCCUUCGGUAUCUACAGGGACGUCCUAUGCUCUGUAUAUCCAAAUAGGAGGGAAGAAUUGGACCUUUACCUCCACAAGCUGGUGGAUUUGGGGCACAAGUACGGUGGUACGUCAUUUUACGACUACCACCGUGCUUUUUCCGCAAAGGCGUCGGCCACCCUAGCACAGUUCAAUAUUCAGGCUGAUUGGGGUGUGCUUGAUACUGAGCUGUUUUGUCGGCACUUUGCGGGCCUGAAAACUCCAGCUUGUGCCAUUUGCUCAUCCAAUUCUCACACGGCUAAUUUAUGCCCUAAUUCUCCUGAGGUGAAUGCUGUUUUUUCACCUGCUAAUGUGGUACCCACAGGGAGGUCUGGCAGGGUGCUUAAAGACAAACUAGGCCGUGAUAUAGUGUUCUUGGGCAAGUCACAGGUCUGUAACAAUUUCAACACCAGCUCUUGCGGUUACAGUGCCUGCAGACUUCUGCAUGUCUGUUCAAUCUGUUUCAGGGCUCACGCCAAGGCAAUGUGCCCUAAUAAACUAUUCCCUAAGCAGUAUCAAACGUCUCUUCAUGUCUCCCUACUGAAAGAACUUUUACGUAAUCACCCAUCACAAGAUCUCGUUGACUUUUUGGUGACAGGGUUUACGAUGGGGUUUCACACGGGUAUUGUGCACAUGCCUACAGGGAUCCUGUAAUGUAAAAACUUACAGACAGCCCUAGCAGCACCCGACACUAUCAACUUACUCCUUCAGAAGGAAAUGGACCAAGGUUUCUUGUUAGGACCUUUUGACUCCCCGCCGUUCACGGUUCGGAGAACUAAUCCCAUAGGACUGGUCACUAACAAAUCUUCACAAAACAAAGGCUAAUUCUCGACCUGUCAGCCCCCCAUGCAUCUCCUACUCCAAGCCUAAAUUCAUUAAUACCGUCUGAAGAAUUCUCCCUCCAAUAUGCUAACAUAGAUAACGCAGUCACAGCCAUCCUCUCAGCCGGGGUAGGGGCAUGGCUAUGUAAAACGGAUAUUGUGAACGCUUUCAAAUUACUCCCCAUUCAUCCAUCCCUAUGGCAUUUACAUGGGGUUAAGUGGCAAGGCUCGUAUUACUUUUUCACUCGUCUCACGUUUGGUUCAAAAAGCAGCCCCAGGAUCUUUGAUAUAUUUGCGGAGACACUGUGUUGGAUGCUGCUUAACCUCUUUUUAUGCCCCACAGUUAUCCAUUACCUGGAUGAUUUCCUGACCGUAGAAAGUAACUCAGCACCUCCUACUAGCAUCCAGUCAAUCACACGACUGUUCACACGAUUAGGAGUUCCGGUAUCACCGGCAAAGACUGAAGGUCCUGAUACUAUAAUCAAUUUCUUAGGGGUAGUACUCGACUCUGUGAACAUGCAGGCUAGCCUCCCCAGGGAAAAGAUCGAACGCAUCCUGGCAGCCAUCGACCUUUACUUGGGAGGAGGCUCAUGUAAUAGGAAGGAAUUGCAAUCCCUGCUGGGUUCAUUGAAUUUCGCAAUGAAAAUUAUUCCACAGGGGAGAGCAUUCAUUUCCAGGUUGCUUAGCCUAUUUCCAAUGUUUCAAUCUGACACAUCCCGCAUUUCACUAGACAUACAUGCCACAGCUGACCUUCGUAUGUGGAAGGAGUUUUUGCUAAACUGGAACGGGAAAAGCAUUUUUAUCCCGGUUUGGUCAGAAAAUUCGGUAUCACUCUGGACAGAUGCCGCAGCCACUUCUGGAUUUGCCGCUAUUUGGGGCAACAAAUGGAUGUAUGGUAAAUGGCCAGGAGAGAUUACUGAGAUCCCCAGGUUUAAGGAAACGUCAGCACUAUUUGAGCUGUAUCCUAUCGUAGCGGCAGCAGUUAAGUGGGGAGCAGGCUGGUCUGGGAAUUCUGUUCGUUGCUUCUCAGACAACAUGGCUACAUGCCAUGUUGUAAAUAAGGGACGUUCCUCUUCCUUGGCCAUCAUGAGGUUCAUGAGGACUCUCACAUGGCUGGCCGCUAAACACAGUUUCUUUUUGUCUUGCUUUCAUGUGCCUGGUUUUCUCAAUAUUGCAGCUGAUCACUUAUCACGGUCCCGGUUUCAGGAGUUCCAGGAAGCCCUUCCAACAGCUGCCCUAAUACCAACUCCGGUACCACAGUGGCAGGAAAUGGUCUGGGACUAAAAGAGCUGCUAUGUCAUGGGCGGCAACUCUCACAGCUCGGUCUUUCUGCUAAUACUAGGAAGGCAUAUGGUAGAGCUUUUGAUGUAUUUAAUAAAUUCUUGUUGGACUUUAAUAUUGUUGACCAGUUUUCCAUGGAGACCAUUAUUGCUUUCAUCUCCUUUUGCCACCUUCAUCUAACAUUGUCAUACAACACCAUUAAAUUGUAUAUCACAGGUAUUCAGCACCACAUACUCACUUCUUGGCCUAACAAACAACGCUUUAUAUCCUCCUACCAAGUAAAAGCUAUACUUAAAGGUAUCAAAGACACCUACACCCUCACCUGCUAGACUACCCAUCCACGAUCUAUUAUUCCAGGCACUAUCAAAUCUACUAGACACCUCACCAUUCGAAGGUCAUACCAAUCGUGUUAUUAAAACAGCCAUCUAUCUGGCAUUUUACGGUUUUCUGCGGCCCAGAGAAUUCACCACCACUAGCGUUAACUCACUCACGCCUGGCUUUCAAAACCAUGAAUAUGUAAUGUGUAGUGUUGAGUUAUGGUACAAUAAAUGGUUAUAUCUUUUGCCCUCUUUUUCAGGCCUACUUCCUCGUCAGUUCCGGCACACCACAACUGACAUUUCCAUUCUAUGUUUGUCUUAUAUCAAUAAUACUACGGCUUAUGCCAUGACCACAAAUGGAAGGCGUGGCCUGAAGUUGUGGGAGGGGCUUGGUUCCCCUUCUUAAGGAGCAUCAACCCUUCCCUCAUUACCUGUUGAGUCUGGCGAAUUGUCCCACCCACCACACCACUUUUAUAAGCAUUCUAUAAGGUAGGCCCUCUUUUUCAGGCCUACUUCCUCGUCAGUUCCGGCACACCACAACUGACAUUUCCAUUCUAUGUUUGUCUUAUAUCAAUAAUACUACGGCUUAUGCCAUGACCACAAAUAUAUAUAUAUAUAUAUAUAUAUAUAUAUACACGCGUGCACACACACAUACACUCACACAGUGGUGUAUUUUAAUUUUGUGCUGCCCUAGACAUGACUAUAGCGCACCCCCCUAAUCUAAAUUUACCACUCCUUCAUGUCAAGGGUGCACCGCUUCCUGAUUAAGAACCCACCCCUUCCUCUUUAGACUCCACCAUUUCCUGCUCUUUUUAAAGAAAUACUAUAGUGCCAGGAAAACAAAGUUGUUUUCCUGGCACUAUAAUUCCGUAUAGUGCCCCCCUCCUCUCAUGUCCUCCCCUCCCCCACUCGACACUGAAGGGGUUAAAAUCCUAGGGGUAUUUAGCAGAUGCUGGAUGUCCUCAUGCACAGGGUGAGGACGUCCAGCAUCAGUUAGGUGAUUUUUGGUCACCUAACCACCCGAAAGUCCCUCUAGUGGCUGUCUCAUAGACAGCCACUAGACUUGGAGUUACCCCUCAGGUAAUUAUUGCAGUUUCUGAGAAGGUUUAAGGGGACUGGGACACUGCACCCAGACCACUUCAAGGAGCUGAAGUAGUCUGGGUGCCUAUAGUGUCCCUUUAAGCACACUCUCUGACAGACACCCACACUGGUAGAUACACACUGACAGUAACACACACAUUCAAUGACAAACACACAGACUUCACUGAUUUGACACACACAUUCACUGACACACACUCAUUCAUUGACAGAGAGACACACACUAAUAGUCACACACACACUAAAUGACAGAUUCUCACUGAUUUGACAGAAACUUACAAUAACAUAUGCACAUACAUGCAAACAUACACAUGCAUACACUAACAGAAGCACAUACACACGUACAAACGCUAACAGACAUAAAUACACUCCUACACACACUGAGACAAACAGACAUCCACAGACAGACAUCCACACAUCCAGACAUCCACACAUCCAGAAACAGACAUCCACACAUCCACACAUCCACAAACAGACAUCCACACAUCCACAGACAUCCACAAAUCCACAAACAGACAUCCACAAACAGACAUCCACAUCCAGACAUCCACAAACAGACAUCCACACAUCCACAAACAGACAUCCACAAACAGACAUCCACACACAGACAUCCACACAUCCACACACAGACAUACAGACAUCCACACACAGACAUCCACACAUCCACAGACAUCCACACAUCCACACACAGACAUCCACACACAGACAUCCACACAUCCACACACAGACAUACAGACAUAUCCACACAUCCACAAACAGACAUCCACACAUCCACAAACAGACAUCCAACACACAUCCACACAUCCACACACAGACAUCCACACACAGACAUACAGACAUACACACAUCCACACACAGACAUCCACACACAGACAAACAGACAUCCACAAACAGACAUCCACACACAGACAUACAUAUUAAUAAUAUUAUUAACAAAUUAACAUAUCCCACCCACCCAGCAUCCCUACCUUUCCCUGGGGUCCAGUGGGGCUGCAGUGAGGACGGCUCUCUCCCUGUCACACGCGGAGAGGGAGCUGUGUGCUCUCUGCUCCCUCUCGCCGCGCGGGAUGUCUGCUGAUGCUGGGAGCCGGGUUGAUGACGUCAUAUUCCGGCUCCCAGUAUCAGCAGACAUCCCGCGCGGCGAGAGGGAGCAGAGAGCACACAGCUUCCUCUCCGCGUGUGACAGGGAGAGAGCCGUUCGCCGGGGGGCAAUCCAUCAGGUGGCCCCCCCAUGACAGGGGGGGCAUUUGGGGGCGGCAUUUUUUGCCGCCCCCUGAGUGCCUGCAGGGUGAACGGCGUUCCUGCUGUGAAAAAAGUGCAGGAACGCCGUUCCCACGCGUUCCUGCAGGACUCGAGCCCUGGUGCUGGGUAACUUCUGCAGUGAACUGAGUACCCCGAUCCGAGAUGAUCUCCCUGGGAAAAUCCGCAUCAGGGCCUCAGCCACUGUUUUGGCGUGUAUAUUAGUGCCACCGCCUCUGGAUAUCUGCUAGCGUAGUCCACCACUGUCAAGAUAUAAUUCUUGCCAAAGGGGCUAGCCUUCUUUAAGGGACCUACUAUGUCUACCGCUACUCUACUGAAUGGUUCUUCCAUUAUGGGUAGAGGGUGUAACUUUUUUCUUUCCGGGGGUCUCCCCUCUUCCCUACUCUCUGGCACGUGUCACAAUUAUUGCAGUACCUCCUAACCUCCUGACUGAUUCCUGGCCAAAAGAAGCUCUGGGUCAGUAGGUACCAGGUGCGACUGACCCCCAAAUGUCCGGAUAGCGGAAUAUCAUGCGCUAUCCAGAGCAAUUCGGAUCGGUACUGCUGUGGUACCACUAGCUGUCUAAUGAUAAUCGGGUCUGACCCUUCUACCCUUUUCUCAGAUUCUCGGUAUAGCAACCUUUUGUCCCAGACAAAUCUCUGUCCCUCCACCCCGGGUGGGUCAGAGGUGACCCUAUCCCUAUACACUUGUAAGGAUACACCUCUGCCUCAAAUUCGCUAGGGGGGGCCCAAGGGACGCACUCUAAGGAAGGAGAAGGAUCUCUUACUUGAACCUCCAGGUGUGAGUUGUGGUCCUGGGUGCGGGCCUGUUGACAUGUGACCAUGGGAGGUGCUUCUCCAGUGGCAGGGAUCUGGGGCUCAAAAGCAGAUGUGAGAUUCCCCAGGUUGUUUCCCAACAAAACUUCUGCCGGUAACUGUGGCAUCAACCCCACCUCCACAUUUCCAGACCCCGCUCCCCAAUUCAAAUGUACCCUUGCUGUGGUUAGCCGAUAUACUGCUCCCCUGGCUACCCUGACGGCCACUGUCCGGUUGGUCUUGACUCCUUCGCGGACGAGAUGGCUCUUUACCAGCAUGAAGAUUGCUCCCGAAUCGCGUAGUCCUUGCACCGCCUUCCCCUCUAGGUGUACGACCUGUCGAUGCUGUUGGCGGUUAUCGGCAUCUGCUUGGAGUGGAUCCGCCUCAUGUAGUACCUCCCAUUGUUUGACUACUGGGUUGGGUAUAGUUGCAGCAUAUGGUGUUGGUAUUUCAAUUUGAUAAUAAUGCACUGCCGCUCGUGGUGGUGGUGGACCGGGUCGCAUCCAUGUGGUUCUGUCUUGCAGUUAAGGGCAGUCUCUUUUGUAGUGGCCCCAUUUUUGGCACUGGUGACACUGUACAGCGCUGGGCUGGCAGAACUGCUGCUGUGAGGUGGCUGGUGAGGGUGGUGGAAGCUGCCGAGGAGGUGCUACUGAGCUGGUGGGGUAGGUAGUCCCCACUGUGGAUCUUACUGCAGUCCUGGCUGGCACAGUUUUCUGUUGCCUGCGGGCAUCCAUAUAGUCAUCGGCUUUCCUGGCUGCUUCGGUGAGGGAUGUGGGGUUGCGGUCUCUUACCCACUCCUGAACAUCUGUUGGGACCCUGUCAUAAAAUUCCUCCAACAAUAAUAUUUGUAAUAGGUCCUCCAUGGACCGUGCUUAGUUAGCUUGUACCCACCCUAAGGCUGCCCAGUGCAGUCGACAAGCCCAUUCAGCGUGCAAGUCCUUUUCCGCCGCCUUCAGCUCCCUGAACCGCAUUCGGUACGCCUCUGGUGUGAUGGCAUAGCGGGCCAAGAUGACUUCUUUUACCCGACUGUAGUUGCGAAUUUCUUCAUCGGGUACGGUGCGGUACGCCUCCGCUGCUCUCCUGGUUAGCCAACUUGCUAGGAUGGGGACCCAAUCUUCUGCACUGAUUUUAUGUAGGGCACACAGUCUUUCAAAGUCCUGGAGGAAUGCAUCUAUGUCUUCCUCUGCCUCUACAUAGGUUUUGAAAGCCUGGUAGGGUAUCUUAGGCUUACCCUCCUGGAUCGUAGUCAUUGCUGGGUUUCUUUCUGGAAUUUGCUGGUUUCUUUGUUAUAGCACAAACUCCUGAACUUCGGUCAUUGCUCUGGAGAUUAUGUCUGCUGGUGGAUUUUCCCCAUAAAAUGACAGCCUAAAUUGUUGCUGUCUUUGGAACUCUGAUUGUUCCUGUUCAUCUGCAGAACCGCUCCGUUUGGGAACCGAAUCGCCCUCCGUUCAGUAUUCCGCCAUCAUUUCUGAGACAAGCACUGCCUUUUUCUUGUUGCUGGCCGGAAUACCCCUUGCUUAACGUGGACCGCUUGAGAAUAGAGUAGUCAAUCUCCAUCCACAAUCCAUUUGUAUUGCUGCUUUCUUUGGUACUUGUUCCUUUCUGGAUUCUGGAUCCCGCCGCUGCCAACAAUGUAGCAGAGCACUAGUUUCCCAUAGGCUUUCUCCGCUGAUAAUCCAAUAGCAUUUCAGGAACAAGGGGUUAACACAGGAAAAACAGCAGCAGUAGUAAAUAAAAUAAUCCUGGAAUAUCCCAUCACCUUUCCUGGAAUAACUGGACGACACACAGUAUCAGGAGUAGAACUCAUCUUUAAUCCCACAUACCCUGCUUUUAUGCAUCUCUCCCAUGCAAGGGAGACACCCACAAAAAAUUAUACAGUAACCAAUCAUAUACAGGUUACAACCCAAUCAUCUCCCCUCAGCC
RNAcentral lists this long non-coding RNA (22180 nucleotides) under Pelobates cultripes (western spadefoot toad). The record is from RNAcentral. Lineage: Eukaryota; Metazoa; Chordata; Amphibia; Anura; Pelobatidae.